UACGUAGGUGGCGAGCGUUGUCCGGAUUUACUGGGCGUAAAGAGCGCGCAGGCGGUCGUUCAAGUCGCGUGUGAAAGCCCCCGGCUCAACUGGGGAGGGUCACGCGAUACUGAUCGACUCGAAGGCAGGAGAGGGAAGUGGAAUUCCCGGUGUAGUGGUGAAAUGCGUAGAUAUCGGGAGGAACACCAGUGGCGAAGGCGACUUCCUGGCCUGUUCUUGACGCUGAGACGCGAAAGCGUGGGGAGCGAACAGG
Molecule: ribosomal RNA, 253 nt
Filed under: uncultured bacterium
Lineage: Bacteria
Description: partial 16S ribosomal RNA
Rfam family: Bacterial small subunit ribosomal RNA
Source: RNAcentral